GCCGCGGUAGCUCAGUGGUAGAGCACUGGUCUGAAAAACCAGGUGUCGGUAGUUCGAUCCUACCCCGCGGCACCC
This 75-nucleotide transfer RNA is filed under the name Elusimicrobia bacterium CG1_02_63_36. Its description in RNAcentral is "tRNA-Phe". It matches the Rfam family "tRNA". From Rfam's summary of the family: Transfer RNA (tRNA) molecules are approximately 80 nucleotides in length. Their secondary structure includes four short double-helical elements and three loops (D, anti-codon, and T loops). The record is from RNAcentral. RNAcentral also lists the same sequence under 3 other names. Lineage: Bacteria; Pseudomonadati; Elusimicrobiota.